This 384-nucleotide RNase P RNA is filed under the name Sphingomonas immobilis. Its description in RNAcentral is "RNase P RNA component class A". It matches the Rfam family "Bacterial RNase P class A". From Rfam's summary of the family: Ribonuclease P (RNase P) is a ubiquitous endoribonuclease, found in archaea, bacteria and eukarya as well as chloroplasts and mitochondria. Its best characterised activity is the generation of mature 5'-ends of tRNAs by cleaving the 5'-leader elements of precursor-tRNAs. Lineage: Bacteria; Pseudomonadati; Pseudomonadota; Alphaproteobacteria; Sphingomonadales; Sphingomonadaceae. The record is from RNAcentral.
CCAGAGGGCCGGGCGGCCGCGGGUGCGCAAGCACGCGAGGAAAGUCCGGGCUCCGCGAGACGACGGUGCCGGGUAACGCCCGGCGGGGGCGACCCCAGGGACAGUGCCACAGAGAGCAGACCGCCGAUGGCUCUUCGGAGCACAGGCAGAGAGUGAAAGGGUGCGGUAAGAGCGCACCGCGCCUCCGGUAACGGCAGGCGGCAUGGCAAACCCCACCGGGAGCAAGACCGAAUAGGGACGGCACAUGAGCUUCGUUUCAGCUCGUCGUCCGGGUUGGUUGCUUGAGGCGGCGUGCGAGCGUCGCCCUAGAGGAAUGGUCGCCUAUCUCCCCCAGUGAAAAUUGGCGGGGGUGGACAGAACCCGGCUUACAGGCCCUCUGGUACU